AGAGUUUGAUCCUGGCUCAGAUUGAACGCUGGCGGCAUGCCUAACACAUGCAAGUCGAACGGCAGCACAGCAGAGCUUGCUCUGUGGGUGGCGAGUGGCGGACGGGUGAGUAAUGCAUCGGGACCUACCCAGACGUGGGGGAUAACGUAGGGAAACUUACGCUAAUACCGCAUACGUCCUACGGGAGAAAGCGGGGGACCUUCGGGCCUCGCGCGGUUGGACGGACCGAUGUGCGAUUAGCUAGUUGGUAGGGUAAUGGCCUACCAAGGCGACGAUCGCUAGCUGGUCUGAGAGGAUGAUCAGCCACACUGGGACUGAGACACGGCCCAGACUCCUACGGGAGGCAGCAGUGGGGAAUAUUGGACAAUGGGCGCAAGCCUGAUCCAGCAAUGCCGCGUGUGUGAAGAAGGCCUUCGGGUUGUAAAGCACUUUUAUCAGGAACGAAAUACCACGGGUUAAUAACCUAUGGGGCUGACGGUACCUGAGGAAUAAGCACCGGCUAACUUCGUGCCAGCAGCCGCGGUAAUACGAAGGGUGCAAGCGUUAAUCGGAAUUACUGGGCGUAAAGGGUGCGUAGGCGGUUGUUUAAGUCUGUCGUGAAAUCCCCGGGCUCAACCUGGGAAUGGCGAUGGAUACUGGACAGCUAGAGUGUGUCAGA
Molecule: ribosomal RNA, 658 nt
Filed under: uncultured Gammaproteobacteria bacterium
Lineage: Bacteria; Pseudomonadati; Pseudomonadota; Gammaproteobacteria
Description: bacterial SSU rRNA
Rfam family: Bacterial small subunit ribosomal RNA
Source: RNAcentral